UUUGGUCAAUCAUUCCACCAAAAACCUCCCCAACUUGUAUGCUGGCAUGUAUUUAAACUCCUUGGAGCUGACAAGAUUGUGGCCAAAAAGCCAUUGACGUUGAGCACCCAGUGCUUGGCACUGGGCUGGACUCUGCUGGAGGAGAUGGAAGGAGAACAUCUCCCUGGGCUUCCACCUCACACAACCCAUUAACCCAUAAAGGCACAUAUUACAAAUCUUGGAGACGCUCAUGCUUGAAUAGAACUUUGUAAUCUUGCCUCAUUCUCAUUCAGGCAGGCAAUCCUAUGUGAAUGUCAAGCACACAAGCUAGACAGAAGAAAGAACUUCCAUAGGGCAUCAAUACUGUAUAGAAAAAUCAUCCAACUUGAAGGAUUCUCUUCUUGAGAGGUAAUGAACGAGGAGCACCCUCACCUUGCUGAGCCAGAAUUAAGCUUGGACAACUUCCUGAAAGACAGAAGUAUAAAGCAAGGAUUAGCAGAGAGGUGGGCAGCCUGGAGACAAGCAGAAAGGGGCUGAGGGCCACUUCAGAGAGUCUUCGACAUAUCGCCAUAAAUUGUCUUCUGAGGAGGAAGCCAGAUCCAACAUCAAGUUCUAACAGUGAAGCCUCGAAGAAGAGACUGGAAUAACCAGGGAGGAAGGAACACUGUAUAUCUGUGGCAUUGGGUGGCAGGAGUCAUCCCUGAGAGACUUUGCAGACUAGGCCAGUCCAGCCGGGCCAGCACGAGGUCUCUGAAGGGAGCAGGCCGCUGUGUGAGGGGCCAGGAAGGGAUUUUAUAUAACACUGUGCACUUGCUACUCUGAUCAAGAACCCUCAGAGCUUCCUGGAGUCCCUUUUAACAAAAGCUCUUCACCUUUCCGGGCCUCCUUCCAGAAGCCCUGUUCUGGCCUAAAGCCCUCUUCUGCAAGGUGCCUGCUGAGCAUGGUGUCUUUCCUCCAGAGAGCCUGAGGCCAGCACUAUCCUGGCUGGGCAGGUGGCCCAGCUCAGAGGAAGGAGAACUGACCCACGGGUAGCAGGGCUGGGCUCCCAAUUUCUGACUGGGUAACCUGGAUCUAGAUCUCACAAGGGUAGUGACUAAGUGCCCAGACCCUGGAGAGGGACUACCAGGGUUCAAAUGCUGCCCUUGCCAUUCAAGGAGUUUGGCCAAGUUAUUUAAUCUCUCUGCCUUAGUUUCCUCAUAGGAAUAAAGAUAUUUCAAAGUUAUUGAGUUUUAAAUUGGAUCACCCAUGGAAAAUGCAUGACAGGGGGCUGGGGUUGUAGCUCAGUGGUAGAGCAUGGGCCAAGCAUGU
Molecule: long non-coding RNA, 1287 nt
Organism: Marmota monax (woodchuck)
Lineage: Eukaryota; Metazoa; Chordata; Mammalia; Rodentia; Sciuridae
Exons: 3
Source: RefSeq, a predicted model, not a curated record